Molecule: microRNA precursor, 99 nt
Filed under: Marmota monax (woodchuck)
Lineage: Eukaryota; Metazoa; Chordata; Mammalia; Rodentia; Sciuridae
Source: RNAcentral
AAUGGGAUAACUGGGUCAAAUUGUUUCAUUCCAAAUUUUCUAAGGAAUCUCCAUACUGCUUUCCAGAGUGGUUGCAAAAUUUACAGUCCCACCAGUAAU